Drosophila virilis is the source of this 462-nucleotide non-coding RNA. The record is from RefSeq and is a predicted model, not a curated record. NCBI's taxonomy places the organism in Eukaryota, Metazoa, Arthropoda, Insecta, Diptera, Drosophilidae.
CCACCUUAGGUCUGAAUCUGAGUGCUUGUCAACAAGUUGCAUAUUUUGGUGUCAAAUAAUUGCCAGUUGUCAUCCGCAGGAGAAGAAGUAAAAUACAGAGCCAAGAAGGGCCCAUUUAGGAAAAUUUCACCAUUAACUCAAUUGCCGGAGCCUAUGCAAAUGAAUUCCCAGCGCUAAAGCAAUCAUAUUUCCAUAGUUUACACAGUUCCAUGGAGAGGCUCGUGUGAUUGCCCCAGCGAUUUCUCUAUUAACUAUAAGCAGGUGCCUAGACAGAGCUGGAGCUGAAGUUAAAGAUACAUGCAGGCAGUCCACAUGUGCAUGGAUGUGGCUGUCUCUGAUGCGCCAUGCGAGUUGUUGUUGCCGUUGCAGUUGUCUACGUUGCAGUUCCUCCAAACCCAAAGCACAUUAUGAAUGAAUAAUGUAUGAAUGAAAAUUGCAUGCACGUGCCUUUAAGCUAUAAAA